UAAGCGGAGGAAAAGAACUAACAAGGAUUCCCCUAGUACUGCGAGUGAAGCGGGAAAAGCUCAAAUUUGGAAUCUGGUGGUCUUUGGCCCAUCCGAGUUGUAAUUUAGAGAAGCNUCUUCCGCGCUGGACCGUGCACAAGUCUCCUGGAAUGGAGCGUCAUAGAGGGUGAGAAUCCCGUCNNGGCAUGGAAUCCCAGGGCUUCUGUGAUGCGCUCUCGACGAGUCGAGUUGUUUGGGAAUGCAGCUCAAAAUGGGUGGUGAACUCCAUCUAAAGCUAAAUAUUGGCGAGAGACCGAUAGCGAACAAGUACCGUGAGGGAAAGAUGAAAAGCACUUUGGAAAGAGAGUGAAACAGUACGUGAAAUUGUUGAAAGGGAAACGCUUGAAGUCAGUCGCGUCGACCGAGACUCAGCCUUGCCUCGGCUUGGUGUACUUCUCGGCUUGACGGGUCAGCAUCGAUUUCAAUCCUCGGAUAAUGGCAAGGGAAAGGUAGCACCUUUUUAGGUGUGUUAUAGUCCUCUGUCGCAUGCGAGGGUCGGGAUCGAGGAACUCAGCACGCACCUCAGGGUGUCGGGGCCUUGGCCCACGUUUACGUGCUUAGGAUGCUGGCGUAAUGGCUUUAAACGACC
Molecule: ribosomal RNA, 628 nt
Filed under: uncultured Russulaceae
Lineage: Eukaryota; Fungi; Basidiomycota; Agaricomycetes; Russulales; Russulaceae
Description: LSU rRNA
Rfam family: Eukaryotic large subunit ribosomal RNA
Source: RNAcentral